AACGAACGCUGGCGGCAUGCCUAACACAUGCAAGUCGAACGAGAUCUUCGGGUCUAGUGGCGCACGGGUGCGUAACGCGUGGGAAUCUGCCCUUUGGUUCGGAAUAACAGUUGGAAACGACUGCUAAUACCGGAUGAUGACGAAAGUCCAAAGAUUUAUCGCCAGAGGAUGAGCCCGCGUAGGAUUAGCUAGUUGGUGUGGUAAAGGCGCACCAAGGCGACGAUCCUUAGCUGGUCUGAGAGGAUGAUCAGCCACACUGGGACUGAGACGCGGCCCAGACUCCUACGGGAGGCAGAAGUGGGGAAUAUUGGACAAUGGGCGAAAGCCUGAUCCAGCAAUGCCGCGUGAGUGAUGAAGGCCUUAGGGUUGUAAAGCUCUUUUACCCGGGAUGAUAAUGACAGUACCGGGAGAAUAAGCUCCGGCUAACUCCGUGCCAGCAGCCGCGGUAA
This 449-nucleotide ribosomal RNA is filed under the name uncultured bacterium. RNAcentral's name for it is "partial 16S ribosomal RNA". It matches the Rfam family "Bacterial small subunit ribosomal RNA", at positions 29 to 523 of the family's 1533-position model. The record is from RNAcentral.